AGUGAACGCUGGCGGUAGGCCUAACACAUGCAAGUCGAACGGCAGCACAGUAAGAGCUUGCUCUUACGGGUGGCGAGUGGCGGACGGGUGAGGUAUACAUCGGAAUCUACUUUUUCGUGGGGGAUAACGUAGGGAAACUUACGCUAAUACCGCAUACGACCUACGGGUGAAAGCAGGGGAUCUUCGGACCUUGCGCGAUUGAAUGAGCCGAUGUCGGAUUAGCUAGUUGGCGGGGUAAAGGCCCACCAAGGCGACGAUCCGUAGCUGGUCUGAGAGGAUGAUCAGCCACACUGGAACUGAGACACGGACCAGACUCCUACGGGAGGCAGCAGUGGGGAAUAUUGGACAAUGGGGGGAAGCCUGAUCCAGCCAUACCGCGUGGGUGAAGAAGGCCUUCGGGUUGUAAAGCCCUUUUGUUGGGAAAGAAAAGCAGCAGGUUAAUACCCCGCUGUUCUGACGGUACCCAAAGAAUAAGCACCGGCUAACUUCGUG
This 492-nucleotide ribosomal RNA is filed under the name uncultured bacterium. Its description in RNAcentral is "partial 16S ribosomal RNA". It matches the Rfam family "Bacterial small subunit ribosomal RNA", at positions 29 to 507 of the family's 1533-position model. The record is from RNAcentral.